GGACGCAUAGCUCAGCUGGAUAGAGCAACUGCCUUCUAAGCAGUAGGUCGCAGGUUCGAAUCCUGCUGCGUUCACCA
This 77-nucleotide transfer RNA is filed under the name Paracoccaceae bacterium. Its description in RNAcentral is "Rhodobacteraceae bacterium tRNA-Arg". It matches the Rfam family "tRNA". Rfam says of the family: Transfer RNA (tRNA) molecules are approximately 80 nucleotides in length. Their secondary structure includes four short double-helical elements and three loops (D, anti-codon, and T loops). Further hydrogen bonds mediate the characteristic L-shaped molecular structure. tRNAs have two regions of fundamental functional importance: the anti-codon, which is responsible for specific mRNA codon recognition, and the 3' end, to which the tRNAs corresponding amino acid is attached (by aminoacyl-tRNA synthetases). tRNAs cope with the degeneracy of the genetic code in two manners: having more than one tRNA (with a specific anti-codon) for a particular amino acid; and 'wobble' base-pairing, i.e. permitting non-standard base-pairing at the 3rd anti-codon position. Lineage: Bacteria; Pseudomonadati; Pseudomonadota; Alphaproteobacteria; Rhodobacterales; Paracoccaceae. The record is from RNAcentral.